UACGUAGGGGGCAAGCGUUGUCCGGAUUUAUUGGGCGUAAAGAGCGUGUAGGCGGCCAUACAGGUCAGCUGUGAAAACUCGAGGCUCAACCUCGAGACGUCGGUUGAAACCGUAUGGCUAGAGUCCGGAAGAGGAGAGUGGAAUUCCCGGUGUAGCGGUGAAAUGCGCAGAUAUCAGGAGGAACACCGGUGGCGAAGGCGAGUCUCUGGGCCGUUACUGACGCUGAUGCACGAAAGCUGGGGGAGCAAACAGG
Molecule: ribosomal RNA, 253 nt
Filed under: uncultured bacterium
Lineage: Bacteria
Description: partial 16S ribosomal RNA
Rfam family: Bacterial small subunit ribosomal RNA
Source: RNAcentral